GAAUAGUCCUGUCUGAAUCUUUCAUCCUUUUCUAACCUUGAAACUAAGGAGUUAGGACUUUCUCACACCUUCAAGCACACAGUUGUGUAAUAAUUCAAGGAGAAAGGAGCUUCUAAACCUGGAUGACAAAACUUGGGGUCCUGUCAGUUUAGAAACAGCUUGGAUCUAGUGGGAAACAUGCAAAAGCUGAUGGCAUAUGAUGUCGCAGGGAGACCUGGAGGUUGGUACAAGUAGACAUGAAAUUGCACAGUUUUCAG
This is a non-coding RNA of Coturnix japonica (Japanese quail), 257 nucleotides long. The record is from RefSeq and is a predicted model, not a curated record. NCBI's taxonomy places the organism in Eukaryota, Metazoa, Chordata, Aves, Galliformes, Phasianidae.